GAGCCUUAUACUUAGGAAGACACAACUACCUUUGAACAGUCCUUUGUGAAAUCUAAUGAUCGCAACGAACGAAAUAAACCAGAACAUCGUUCUUCAAGCCAAGGACCCUUGUCAUCCAUUAGAGCGGUAAUCAAGAGAUCUUCUCGGACUUCUAUUCAGAGUGAACUUCAUCGAGAUAGAAGGCGCCCAGAGAUCACCAUUGUGGCAGCUGAGCCACUGAGGCCAGCCUCGUGGUUUCCAGGAACCCCACCCCCAGGACUGGGAUUUCCUACAUCAUCUGCAGCAGGCUCUUGGAGGCCUAAUGAGCUGGUUCCUGCUGAGCUCCCACCAUCUUAUGAACAAGUUAUAAAAGAAAUCAACCAAGUUCAAGUUAAUACUACAAAUAAUAAUAAUGCUGCUGCUACUCCAAGGCACACUAUUACUUCUGCAACUCAGACUGACUUUUCAGAAGAAAUAGACAACGAUCUGCCUCAAACACUACAGGCACCUCUCAAGCCUCUUCAGCCUUUCUCAGCAGUCUCGUCUGGCAAUCUUCCAACAAAUGUGGCACCUUUAAUCGUCUUUGAUAUUUCUGAAGAACCGAAUUGUCCAGAAAACCCCAGUGCUACAAGAUGUCCAGUGCCAAAACCAAGAUCAAAAAGCAACCUCAGACCAAUACCCAGAGAUUCUCACAUUAAAGAGCAAAGUCAACAGAAAAUCAGCCCAGCAGCCGUAGGAGAGGAGUCAUCCCCAGGCCGGCCCCAGUCUCUGCUGGACAACGCUAGCACCUCAGACAGUCAGGCAGUGAUGAACAUUAUGAACACAGAACAAAGCCAAAAUAGUAUUGUUUCCAGAAUUAAAGUGUUUGAGGGUCAGACAAACAUAGAAACCUCAGGACUGCCC
RNAcentral lists this long non-coding RNA (882 nucleotides) under Homo sapiens (human). Its description in RNAcentral is "HSALNT0079309". Lineage: Eukaryota; Metazoa; Chordata; Mammalia; Primates; Hominidae. The record is from RNAcentral.